GACGAACGCUGGCGGUGUGCUUCACACAUGCAAGUCGAACGGGGUAGCAAUACCUAGUGGCGGACGGGUGAGUAACACGUGGGAAUCUACCAUUAGAUGGGGAAUAACAGGCCGAAAGGACUGCUAAAUGCCGCAUAUGUAUGUGCCCUCGACAGGGGCAUAUAUGAAAGGAGUAAUCCGUCUGAUGAUGAGCCCGCGUCCGAUUAGCUAGUUGGUAGGUAAAGCCUACCAAGGCGACGAUCGGUAGGUGGUCUGAGAGGAUGAAUACACCCACAAUGGGACUGAGACACGGCCCAUACUCCUACGGGA
Molecule: ribosomal RNA, 309 nt
Filed under: uncultured bacterium
Lineage: Bacteria
Description: bacterial SSU rRNA
Rfam family: Bacterial small subunit ribosomal RNA
Source: RNAcentral